CGGGGCGUAGCUCAGUCUGGCUAGAGCUCUACGUUCGGGACGUAGAGGUCGCACGUUCAAAUCGUGUCGCCCCGA
RNAcentral lists this transfer RNA (75 nucleotides) under Thermoguttaceae bacterium. RNAcentral's name for it is "tRNA-Pro". Lineage: Bacteria; Pseudomonadati; Planctomycetota; Planctomycetia; Pirellulales; Thermoguttaceae. The record is from RNAcentral.